UGAUUGAGCCGCAUGGUUCAAUUAUAAAAGGUGGCUUUCAGCUACCACUUACAGAUGGACCCGCGGCGCAUUAGCUAGUUGGUGAGGUAACGGCUCACCAAGGCGACGAUGCGUAGCCGACCUGAGAGGGUGAUCGGCCACACUGGGACUGAGACACGGCCCAGACUCCUACGGGAGGCAGCAGUAGGGAAUCUUCCGCAAUGGACGAAAGUCUGACGGAGCAACACCGCGUGAGUGAUGAAGGUUUUCGGAUCGUAAAACUCUGUUGUUAGGGAAGAACAAGUACCGUUCGAAUAGGGCGGCACCUUGACGGUACCUAACCAGAAAGCCACGGCUAACUACGUGCCAGCAGCCGCGGUAAUACGUAGGUGGCAAGCGUUGUCCGGAAUUAUUGGGCGUAAAGCGCGCGCAGGCGGUUUCUUAAGUCUGAUGUGAAAGCCCCCGGCUCAACCGGGGAGGGUCAUUGGAAACUGGGGAACUUGAGUGCAGAAGAGGAGAGUGGAAUUCCACGUGUAGCGGUGAAAUGCGCAGAGAUGUGGAGGAACACCAGUGGCGAAGGCGACUCUCUGGUCUGUAACUGACGCUGAGGCGCGAAAGC
This 598-nucleotide ribosomal RNA is filed under the name uncultured Bacilli bacterium. RNAcentral describes it as "bacterial SSU rRNA". It matches the Rfam family "Bacterial small subunit ribosomal RNA", at positions 173 to 760 of the family's 1533-position model. The record is from RNAcentral. Lineage: Bacteria; Bacillati; Bacillota; Bacilli.